UAGUUUCGGAUUGAGAGUCCUAGCUA
Molecule: small RNA, 26 nt
Filed under: Bombyx mori (domestic silkworm)
Lineage: Eukaryota; Metazoa; Arthropoda; Insecta; Lepidoptera; Bombycidae
Description: ovarian small RNA-23217
Source: RNAcentral